RNAcentral lists this ribosomal RNA (492 nucleotides) under Microbacterium marinilacus. Its description in RNAcentral is "bacterial SSU rRNA". It matches the Rfam family "Bacterial small subunit ribosomal RNA", at positions 374 to 876 of the family's 1533-position model. Lineage: Bacteria; Bacillati; Actinomycetota; Actinomycetes; Micrococcales; Microbacteriaceae. The record is from RNAcentral.
GGCGGAAGCCUGAUGCAGCAACGCCGCGUGAGGGAUGACGGCCUUCGGGUUGUAAACCUCUUUUAGCAGGGAAGAAGCGAGAGUGACGGUACCUGCAGAAAAAGCGCCGGCUAACUACGUGCCAGCAGCCGCGGUAAUACGUAGGGCGCAAGCGUUAUCCGGAAUUAUUGGGCGUAAAGAGCUCGUAGGCGGUCUGUCGCGUCUGCUGUGAAAACCCGAGGCUCAACCUCGGGCCUGCAGUGGGUACGGGCAGACUAGAGUGCGGUAGGGGAGAUUGGAAUUCCUGGUGUAGCGGUGGAAUGCGCAGAUAUCAGGAGGAACACCGAUGGCGAAGGCAGAUCUCUGGGCCGUAACUGACGCUGAGGAGCGAAAGGGUGGGGAGCAAACAGGCUUAGAUACCCUGGUAGUCCACCCCGUAAACGUUGGGAACUAGUUGUGGGGACCUUUCCACGGUCUCCGUGACGCAGCUAACGCAUUAAGUUCCCCGCCUGG